Molecule: ribosomal RNA, 253 nt
Filed under: uncultured bacterium
Lineage: Bacteria
Description: partial 16S ribosomal RNA
Rfam family: Bacterial small subunit ribosomal RNA
Source: RNAcentral
UACGUAGGGGGCAAGCGUUGUCCGGAUUUACUGGGCGUAAAGCGCGUGUAGGCGGCUACGCAGGUCCGUUGUGAAAACUGGAGGCUCAACCUCCAGACGUCGACGGAAACCGUGUGGCUAGAGUCCGGAAGAGGAGAGUGGAACUCCUGGUGUAGCGGUGAAAUGCGCAGAUAUCAGGAAGAACACCAAUGGCGAAGGCAGCUCUCUGGGACGGUACUGACGCUGAGACGCGAAAGCGUGGGGAGCGAACAGG